AUGAGUAGGUGUGUCCAAACUUUUGGCUGGUACUGUAUAUAUCUCGUGAAUCUCACACAAAUUGAAAAAAUCUAGGUAAUUUAUUUUUAGGCCAUAUCACCCAGCCAUAGUUAGUCUCUUGCCCCUGGUAGAAACAAUUGAAAGGGUAGUCCAAAACAGAGCUCAUUUUGAAGUAUCCAUCACCUAGGCUAACAAGUGAAUGCAGUUUGGGCAUUGUAAAAUAGGAAAAAUACUUUGCAAAUAACUCUUCUAAGUGCACAAAAAGUAGACACCCCAAUAAUCUACAGUUCUCCACAUAGUUGGGAUUUAGGACAAAUGUGACUUUGCAUCAAUAUCCGAUUAAGACAAUUCCAUUGAUGUCAAUGUGUAAGUGCACAAUAUGCACAACGAUUUGAAUUCUAGCCCGAGUCAGUUGUUACCAUCCAACUGUUUAGGCUUUGUGGUCACUGUAGUUUCCAUAUGCUAGUAUGAGUCAGCAUAAGACUGCUGACCCUCAAGAUGGCUGCCUGCUCUCGCAGUGUAUUCAACGUUGGUUACAGAGGGAGAGGAGCCCUAAACUAACACAGCUUGUUUUAACCUCAUUUUCAUCAUCUCCAGCACCAUACCAGUGUCUUCAUAUAUGGCUAGUACUCCUAGGGAGUGCAUUGUUUGGCCUGAGAUCUGAGGGUUUAGGUUCUUAAAGGAAGCCUCCGUGUUGGCACAGCCAGGUUGGGUUGGGCUGAGGCUCAUCCCUGGACAAAUCUGUUCUCACUAAAUCUACACUCUCCACACCACACUCUCCUCUUCCCAUGGUGUGUGCUUGUGUGCGUGUUGUUAAUAUCCGAAUCCUAGUGAUGAAAAUGUGACGUCAACCUCGAACACUGUUCCCAUUGUUUUCACACACACGCUUUUCGGCUUUUACAGUGCUGUGGUCACACGUUUGACGAGCACACACGCUCACACACACGCUCACACGACCACACAAGCAGCUCUAGUGUCUCUUGGAUAUACACUCACUUACAUUAAUAAAUAUUUACAAAAGUCUCUUCUCUAUGGUGACUCACAGACAUAUUACACACACGCGCGCACACACACACACCAUGCAGAGUAUGGGACUGUGUAUGCCUGAUGGCAUCCCAUGUGACCGCCUGAAUAGCGGGUCUAUCCUUGGAUUCUUCACCCUCUUGUUCACCCUGUUAUCUGAGAACUGGUGAUCCAUUUAUUGAUCAAAAAGUAACCAUUAUGGAUGUGUUUAUCCAUAUAACAGUAGUGCACAAUGUUCAGUGCUAAAGUUUACCUUGGUACAGACAACUGACUAUUGUGACUUGUGUCAACAGAUGACCAUCUAUGUAUUGACAGUAUUGUUACUGUAUGUAUUGACAGUAUUGUUACUGUAUGUAUUGACAGUUUCAUGUAUUGACAGUAUCGUUAUGCCUGUCUGUGAAUAAAGCAGCUAUUAUGCCUCAAGUCAAGGAACAGUGAAACCUGAUUGUUCUGUGUCUUCUCUCCUUCCUCCCGCCAUCCUCUUUCUUGAGUGACCCGAGGGCCGCGUGCGGACGUGCUGGGGGCCGCGUGCGGACGUGCUGUGGGCCGCGUGCGGACGUGCUGGGGGCCGCGUGCGGACGUGCUGGCUGCUCCUGUCGGAGAGAUAAAGGAGCUGCGUGAGGAGACACUGGACUUUCUUGUAAACAUGUGCACUCAGCGCCAGCGUGGAGAGCCCUACGCUGUGAGGCAUGGAGGAGGAGAAAGAGGGAACCACAUUGCGAAGACCCCUGCUUCUGGGGUGUCUGUUGCAGUACUCGCACACUGUGAGCUGGCCCGGGGAGAGAUCCUGAGGUGGCUGGAAGAGAGGAGGCAGGAAGGAAGGAAAGGAGAGGGAUGGAGAAGGGUCGAGAGGCACCCUCUGGCCCCAGGAGACAAUCAUCUCUACCCUCACUACCCUGGCCCUGCAUGAGACCCACCCUCAGUCUCCAGCUUCAGCCUCCAAGUAAAUCAAAGGGCAGGAGGAUCGGAGGAUAUCCUGAUGUAGCAAAGGAUCGUUCACUUAUAAACCAGGUCAGUUGCCUGAUGUGGCUGUCUCUUGCUCCUGCUCUCCUUCGCCGUCUCCCGGCAGCCACUCUGUCAGGGUGAGGAUGCCCAUUGGCACCUGCCCCCACAACUGGAACAGCUGGCACAGCAACCCUACAGUCAUGUCCAGGGCCACAGGAUGAGGAGGUGUUCCUGUUUGAGAGGGGAGAUCUGAACCUGUGGGCCGAGCCUGUCCAGUGGAUGCGGCUGCUACACAGAUACCUGGGUGUCCUCUUCAAAGCCCCAGAGCUGAAGGCUCUGAACCAGAACCAGGCAGAGCUCCUCAGUCUGUCAGCCCAGGAAGAUGCCCUGUCCCUGGCCACCCAGCAGGCUCUGGAGGGCCUCCCAGCCCUGGCCCAGUUCUCCUGCACCAUAGAGCACGCCUGGCUGGCCUGCAGCAGGAGAGGGCCACACUGGCUACGGGUUUUAGACUCCAAGAAACGUUCUGAAUUUAACACUUAUGCAAGCAGUAUACACAUUUUUCAUGACUAAAAUGGUUUGUUUUAUCAGCGACGGGUGUAUAGGUUUUCGAAGGGAAUGUACUGCUGAAAGUGUAUACGUUUUGAGUUUUGUCUAUGUUUUUCAAAGUAAAGAUGCCUAAUUCAUGUCUCGCAAUUCUUGAAAACAACCACAGGGCGGUAUGUGUAUGGAUUUCAAAAAUAUAUAAUAUGUAUUAGCACGAUUUCCAGUGGACUCUUUUCAUCCCUUUGCCUUGGUUUCCUAGGUUACGUAAUUAGGAGGGCAACACAAUGGUCCACUGUCCUGUGUCAGCGACUGCCCAGACAGCUGGGCAGUCUUGCGCUGUAGUAUGGCAAUGUUCCCUGUUACUGUUAAAAUGAUGUCAUGUUCUGGAACGCUUGAACAUCCCCCAAUAAAAACAGCACUGUGUGA
Salvelinus namaycush (lake trout) is the source of this 2937-nucleotide long non-coding RNA. RefSeq lists it as uncharacterized. The transcript is spliced from 5 exons. The record is from RefSeq and is a predicted model, not a curated record. Lineage: Eukaryota; Metazoa; Chordata; Actinopteri; Salmoniformes; Salmonidae.